RNAcentral lists this ribosomal RNA (279 nucleotides) under uncultured bacterium. RNAcentral describes it as "partial 16S ribosomal RNA". It matches the Rfam family "Bacterial small subunit ribosomal RNA", at positions 337 to 630 of the family's 1533-position model. The record is from RNAcentral.
UCCUACGGGGGGCAGCAGUGGGGAAUAUUGGGCAAUGGGCGCAAGCCUGACCCAGCAAUGCCGCGUGAAGGAAGAAGGCCCUCGGGUUGUAAACUUCUUUUAUCAGGGACGAAGGAUGUGACGGUACCUGAAGAAGAAGCCCCGGCUAACUACGUGCCAGCAGCCGCGGUAAUACGUAGGGGGCAAGCGUUAUCCGGAUUUACUGGGUGUAAAGGGGGCGCAGACGGCGAUGCAAGCCAGGAGUGAAAGCCCGGGGCCCAACCACGGGACUGCUCUUGG